GCAAACUUGGUCAUUUAGAGGAAGUAAAAGUCGUAACAAGGUUUCCGUAGGUGAACCUGCGGAAGGAUCAUUAUCGAUUCAACAAGAAAUGUUGAGAGGGAGGAGAUCUUCCUGCCGAGGCUUUAAAACAUGCGCGUGAAUUCGUGCGGCCGAUAUGGUGGCAGAGGCACUGGGCGAGCACUCGCUGUCUCUUUGGAAGGUGCUUAUGCACCUUCGGCUUGACGAUACCCGCUCCAUUUUUUACACACACACCUGUGCACCUGUUGUAGGUCCCGCAAGGGAUCUAUGUCUUUCUCAUAUACCCCAUUGUAUGUUUAUAGAAUGUAUCUUUGUUGCUUCUCGUCAGAGAACAAUAAUAAAACCUUUAUAACUUUCAGCAACGGAUCUCUUGGCUCUCGCAUCGAUGAAGAACGCAGC
Molecule: unclassified non-coding RNA, 417 nt
Filed under: uncultured fungus
Lineage: Eukaryota; Fungi
Description: partial contains small subunit ribosomal RNA, internal transcribed spacer 1, and 5.8S ribosomal RNA
Rfam family: Eukaryotic small subunit ribosomal RNA (bases 1-73)
Source: RNAcentral